CGUCGCUCACGUUUUCACGACCAAUUAAAAACCUUUGUCGCACAAAGUUUUUUUUUCACGAUCUUUGCACUACGGAUUUAGCGCGCUGAAGUUUGUGCGACUCAAAUGUGCUUUGCACGACCAAAUCAUCUUCGUCGCGCAAAUAGUAAAAUGUGGUAGUGUGUGGUAUGAUAAUUGUGUUGUGUGCAGAUUUUGCGACCCGAUGACGAGAGAUCAUGCUGUUUUCAUUUGUGCGGCAGGGAAGUAUUCAACUCAAGCACAUCUAGAGGUUUCGAUGUCAAAAAACCUGUGGUUGUGCCAAAAGAUCAUCAAAACCUGUAGUUGUGCCUUCUAAAUACGAUUCUUACGAAAAAUAGAUGUGAUGUUGUCGAAUCAAUGAUUUACCAGAUGCUUAUAACUUUUGUAAUUUUGUAAACAUAUCAAUUUGUUUCGCUAGGCUCAGUCAUGUUGCAAGUAUUUAUUUGAAUCACAUGUAUUAGUUC
Prunus avium (sweet cherry) is the source of this 482-nucleotide non-coding RNA. The record is from RefSeq and is a predicted model, not a curated record. NCBI's taxonomy places the organism in Eukaryota, Viridiplantae, Streptophyta, Magnoliopsida, Rosales, Rosaceae.